UCUUGGUAACAUACUUAGGAAUAACAAAUCCUCUACAUGAUGACCAAAUGUCAAUUAGUUAAAUCCCCACUAUGGUAUUCAAUGGACAUUACGACUUAAAAGUGUAUCUAGACGCCUAGUGGGUUUUGGUCUUUUUGGAUGAAUGAUCAAAAAUUAAAUUUGAUGAAUUAAGUACAUUUUAGUUAGUAAGAUGAAUUGGAGUAUGCUUGGUGAGUCUAUAAAAG
Molecule: long non-coding RNA, 224 nt
Filed under: Oryza brachyantha (malo sina)
Lineage: Eukaryota; Viridiplantae; Streptophyta; Magnoliopsida; Poales; Poaceae
Description: long non-coding RNA (OBRA_LNC001760)
Source: RNAcentral